UCAUUCAUAAUAGUUAGUACUAACACGAGAAAUAAUGUCAUACCACUAAAUUUGAGGAAUAGACUUAUGAUGAACAACUUCAUCUUGGAUUAAGUGAUUCAUCAAACCAAACACCUCCCUUAAACCAUCUCCAACAGCUUACCUAUACCUAUAUUCAAACUACACUAUAUAAACAGACAAUAUAAAACGAUGCAAAACGGUGUUUUUUUUUGUCAUUAGCAGGCUUACCAUGUAGCCUAACAACUUCCUACUCUGAAGCAAACAGUGCCCUUGGUAUGGAUUGCAUCAGUUAAAUUGUUAUUUGGAC
RNAcentral lists this long non-coding RNA (307 nucleotides) under Zea mays. Its description in RNAcentral is "long non-coding RNA (ZMAY_LNC003588)". The record is from RNAcentral. Lineage: Eukaryota; Viridiplantae; Streptophyta; Magnoliopsida; Poales; Poaceae.